This 525-nucleotide ribosomal RNA is filed under the name Holothuria fuscopunctata. RNAcentral's name for it is "partial large subunit ribosomal RNA". It matches the Rfam family "Bacterial large subunit ribosomal RNA", at positions 1817 to 2600 of the family's 2925-position model. Lineage: Eukaryota; Metazoa; Echinodermata; Holothuroidea; Aspidochirotida; Holothuriidae. The record is from RNAcentral.
AGCUCCCUGAAAAAAAAUAGGGAGUCCCGCCUGCCCAGUGGUAUUCACUAAACGGCCGCGGUAUCUUGACCGUGCAAAGGUAGCAUAAUCAUUUGUCUCUUAAAUGGAGACUGGUAUGAAUGGCUAAACCUUUCUAAGCUGUCUCCCUCCCUGCCCUUAUAAACUUCUACUGCUGCGAAGAAGCAGCAAUAAAAGAGAAAGACGAGAAGACCCUGUCGAGCUUCAGCCACAAAAUAAACAAAUAACAAGCCCAAAGAACUUAUUAAUCGCUAUUACUCAAAGGCUUUGGUUGGGGCAACCAUGGAGAAAAAGGAUCCUCCAGAAAAGUGGAAGAGAACCUCUCUCCACACAAAAACUACCGAACCAGAAACUGGAAAUCGGAAAAAGUUACCGCAGGGAUAACAGCGUCAUCCUCUUUAAGAGUCCUUAUUGACGAGAGGGUUUGCGACCUCGAUGUUGGAUUGGGGCCACCCUAGGGUGCAAAAGCUCUAAACGGUUGGACUGUUCGUCCAUUAAAGCCCUACG